RNAcentral lists this ribosomal RNA (440 nucleotides) under uncultured bacterium. RNAcentral describes it as "partial 16S ribosomal RNA". It matches the Rfam family "Bacterial small subunit ribosomal RNA", at positions 338 to 795 of the family's 1533-position model. The record is from RNAcentral.
CCUACGGGAGGCAGCAGUGGGGGAUAUUGCACAAUGGGGGGAACCCUGAUGCAGCGACGCCGCGUGGGUGAAGAAGCGCCUCGGCGCGUAAAGCCCUGUCAGCAGGGAAGAAAAUGACGGUACCUGAAGAAGAAGCCCCGGCUAACUACGUGCCAGCAGCCGCGGUAAUACGUAGGGGGCAAGCGUUAUCCGGAUUUCCUGGGUGUAAGGGGGGCGCAGACGGCGUUGCAAGCUAGGAGUGAAAGCCCGGGGCCCAACCCCGGGACUGCUCUUGGAACUGCGUGGCUGGAGUGCAGGAGGGGCAGGCGGAAUUCCUGGUGUAGCGGGGAAAUGCGUAGAUAUCAGGAGGAACACCGGUGGCGAAGGCGGCCUGCUGGACUGCAACUGACGUUGAGGCCCGAAAGCGUGGGGAGCAAACAGGAUUAGAUACCCUUGUAGUC